AGGAAUACACCCAGCUGUGUCAUGCUGCAGACCAGACACAGACUAACACUCCCCUGGCUGCACAAGGGAAGCAGUGUAUGGCAUGGAUAGACGGUGACAGGGGUUCUCUGGCCAAGAGUUGUGGAUACAGGGUCACACUUUGCUCUCUCCUGCCACUGGCAUGUACACCAAAGAACAACUUGCUUGUGGGGACCUGCAGAUAGCAUUGAAAACUAUUAACUGUCUCUUGGCCACACUUGGUAUCUUGGAUGGUAUUUGUCUUAGCCAAAUUGAAUGAUAAAUUUGACAAAAUAAAAAACUAAAAUGUAUUUUAGCAUUUGGCUAUCAUUGACUGUAUUAGAGCAGACUCAGAACCUGAACCGAAUCGGAAUCAGAGUUUAUUGUGUCAUAUUUCCACUGCUUUGCUGUGGCAUCCUCACCACAUCCUAUGAUGCAUCAAAAUGGAGACCUUUGUUACAUGUAUGCAAAAAAAAAAACAGAUUGGAUAUAAACAAGGACUUUGUUAGAAGGAAGAUGGACAUGUGUUAUAAUCAUUUUAUUAUUAUACAGCUUUAAGCAGUCAAUCUACAAUGAUUGCAAGUUCUUUAAUCCAGUAACUUGUACUCAGUCAUAAGAGUUCAAUAUGUAAAUUGAUAAUGAUAUAGGAGUAAAGAACAUGAACAUUAUAUGCAGUGUUAGCUAGGUUGUUGUUUAUUAAUUACUCUACACCAUCCCAUGACACUUUGGCCCAUCGUGUAUAUGUCAAAGGCCCAGACCAAAUCUAGUCCUAUGCAUAAAAAGCCCAGGCCUCGUGUUAAUUACGCCCUGGCUGGGCCCAUUCUUUAUGGUGUCUUUGAAUUGUUAACAGCACAAUCGGCAAGUUAAUUGGCCAAGCUGCCAGUUUGUUUGUAUGGCAUGUGCAGGGGAUGUCUUAGAUCGAGGUACAUAUUAUGAUACUUACUCGUGUGGCAAAUGAGAUUUGUAAACUACGUCUGAGGAUGAUACUUAUAAAGAUGUUUAA
Lingula anatina is the source of this 1000-nucleotide long non-coding RNA. The record is from RefSeq and is a predicted model, not a curated record. Lineage: Eukaryota; Metazoa; Brachiopoda; Lingulata; Lingulida; Lingulidae.